CGCCCGCUCGCUCGAGCUCGGCGCGGACCCGCCCGGGAGCGCUCCUCGCAGCCCAGCUGCCCGGGUCCCACCGCCCUACCGGGCGCGGGCGAUCAGACUACCUCGGAGGGCGCGCCCAGACACCCAGUCGUCCGGCCACCUCAGUGGGCACACUCGGCACCCUGUGAUCCGACCACCCGCGGAGGCGCGCUAGCCCUCUGGGUGGGCGUGCUGGGCUUCUCUGCGGCGGAAGUCUGAACCACAGAUUGUGACUUCUUUUCUAGCAAUAGGUGUUGACUGGUCCGACUGCUGCCUUUCUGCCUGAAAGUAGUUCAAACUGGUCUCUAACUGAACCUGGAACUCACUGACUGAGCUAGAGUUGCUGUUGAGAAAUCCCCACGAAUUGUUUGGUCUUCUACCCCUCAAAAUUUUCGAUACAGUGCCUCCUCGGGCCCAUCAGAGUCUUCCAGGAUAAUGACCACGCCUCAGGAGGAAGUGAGGUAAACAAGUCUCCUCAUUGCUAUGUUUUGUAAUCCUCAGACAAGAGUGGAGUUCCCAUCUGAAGAUCCUCAAAGGCAUGCCUGUGUGAAGCUUACCCAUGUAUGUACUCAGUGUAGGUGUGAUCAGUUUUCAGAUCCAUGCAAAUGUGAGCUGACUUUCCCCUGAUGUUUGCUGAGUGCAUGCCAACAGCAUUCUGCAUGCCUAACAUGUCUCAGCAACCAAAUCCCUGGAGCUGCCAUAUGCAGAGGUCUGUGGUGUGGCCAUUUUAUAAAUGAGCCACGGGAAGGCCAGAGAAAGAAACAGCAUGCUCCAGGUCAGAGCAGAAGGCAGCUUCCCUAGGAUCUGUUUUAAUGUUUGCUUCUUUAUAACACAGGAUCUCAUGAAACCCAAGCUAGCCUCGGACUCAACUGUAUAGCUGAGGAUAGCCUUGAAUUGAUUCUCUAGUAUUUCUACCUCAUACCCAGUUCAUGAGGUAAUGCGGACAGAACCCAGGGCUUCCUGAUGCUAGGAAGGGACUCUACCAACUAAGCUACAUCCCCAGACCCUCCUCUGGGAUAGCCCCAAGGUUCAAAUCCAGGGCCUUAACAACAUCGGGACACAGACUUAAGACACAGACAGCACUCUAUGGGUCCUGGGCAUGCUCCUACCCUGUCUAGUGAUGGCAAAAGCCAUCUUUUUAACAGCCUACACUAUGAUUCUUCCAUCAGACCAGAAAGGCCCUAGAUAGCCCAGCUUCCCAUUUUGAGCCAUCCUCGACAUGUUUAACCAGUGGCUUCGUGGGACUGCUAGACAAAGUUUGGAAAUCACCAAGAGCUUUGACUUUUCUGCCCACAAAAACAGUUGGCCUUGGCAGUUGUCCAACACGUUGACCUUAGAUCUAUUUAAUGAAAACCCUAUUAAUUCAAAAAGAAAGAAAGAAAACAAGACAAAAUAGGACAGGCAGUAGAAAGAUCUUUACAAAAAUCGUGUGUGCCCUUCCUCCACUGUUGCCUUGACCAGACAGGGCCACAAAGCUGACAGGACAGGACUAGGACAAUUGCUUUGUUAACACACAAGCACAGCGUGACAUGAACUCCAGAAAAGGCAUUUGGCAGGAUUAACCUGCUGAGGAUAAAGAUGUAGCAGACGGGACCUGAAUUAAUGGACUGGUAUGGCCAAAGUGGAGAAAUCUAUUUGCAUGUAAUAUUAACUGUACUAAUAAACUCCAGGCUGGGAUCCAACAGCCCAGGAGCCUCUUUGAACCAGGACUUGAUUCCUGCACAUCCUAUCUCCGACAUCUGCCAAGACUUGUGCAUGUAAGCCGGCUGCCUGCCGGUUACCACUCUGUCCUUGGUGCCUGCAAUAUCACAGGCCCUUUACUGACUCCAACUCAAGCAGAUCCCACUUACAAUAUUAUUUACAACCUAUGGAAAAGCAAUGAGGAAACGCAGGUUCAACACAUGUAGAAAAUAUCCACCGGGGCCUAGAGAGAUGGCUCAGUAAUUAAGAGUCCUGGCUAUUCCUCCAGAGGACCUGGGUUCAAUUUGUAACAUCCACUUGGCAACUAAGAGUCAUCUAACUCCAGUUCUGGGGAAUCUGAAGCCCUCUUCUCACAUCUGUAGGCACGGUGCAUACAUGGUACAUACACAUGC
Molecule: long non-coding RNA, 2111 nt
Filed under: Mus pahari (shrew mouse)
Lineage: Eukaryota; Metazoa; Chordata; Mammalia; Rodentia; Muridae
Description: lncRNA (MGP_PahariEiJ_G0004339.1)
Source: RNAcentral